GAUGAAGAACGUAGCGAAAUGCGAUAAGUAAUGUGAAUUGCAGAAUUCAGUGAAUCAUCGAAUCUUUGAACGCACAUUGCGCCCGGCAGUACUCUGCCGGGCAUGCCUGUUCGAGCGUCAUUUCAACCCUCAAGCCCUGCUUGGUGUUGGGGUCCCACGGCCGCCGUGGGCCCUGAAAGGAAGUGGCGGGCUCGCUACAACUCCGAGCGUAGUAAUUCAUUAUCUCGCUUAGGGCGUUGGGCGGCGCUCCUGCCGUUAAAGAACCAUCUUUAACUCAAGGUUGACCUCGGAUCAGGUAGGAAUACCCGCUGAACUUAAGCAUAUCAAUAACGGAGGA
RNAcentral lists this unclassified non-coding RNA (337 nucleotides) under soil metagenome. RNAcentral describes it as "partial contains 5.8S ribosomal RNA, internal transcribed spacer 2, and large subunit ribosomal RNA". The stretch from base 1 to 120 matches the Rfam family "5.8S ribosomal RNA", at positions 35 to 154 of the family's 154-position model. The record is from RNAcentral.